AGGUGUACCCUCCUGUAAGAUAGACGUGACCGAAGGAGGUGACCUGGUGUAACCUCCCGUUAGAUACAGGUGACCGAUUGAGGUGACCUGGUGUAACCUCCUGUAAGAUAUAGGUGACCAGGUGUAACCUUCUGUAAGAUAGAGGUGGCCGAUGGAGGUGACCUGGUGUAACCUCCUGUAAGAUAGACGUGACCGAUGGAGGUGACCUGGUGUAACCUCCUGUUAGAUAGAGGUGACCGAUGGAGGUGACAUGGUGUAACCUCCUGUAGGAUAGAGGUGACCGAUGGAGGUGACAUGGUGUAACCUCCUGUAGGAUAGAGGUGACCGAUGAAGGUGACUUGGUGUAACCUCCUGUAAGAUAGAGGUGACCGAUGGAGGUGACCUGGUGUUACCUGCUGUAAGAUAGAGGUGAAACGCCACAUGAGUGCACGAUAUAGAAAUGCAACUGUGCUGGUCAGAGAGAUCGAAUCGGACAGUUAUGAAUACAAUACAAGAUGAUGACUAGGAAACACAAUUAAUUAUUUAUACCGGAGACAAUAAUUCAUUAUAGAAACUAGAGAUCAUGCUUUGCUUGGUAACAUUAUGUUAUAAAAAUUAGCACAUUAUAUACAGUUGUAUGACUGUCAAUUAUAUAUUGACGUUUAUGUACAUUAUAUCAUGAUGUCUAUGUCAAUUAUAUCAUGAUUUUUAUGUCAAUUAUAUCAUGACGGUUAUGUCCAUUAUAUCAUGAUGUCUAUGUCAAUUAUAUCAUGAUUUUUAUGUCAAUUAUAUCAUGACGGUUAUGUUAAGUAUGACAUGACGUUCUUUAAAACGUCUUCUAUAAUGUUGACGUUUUUAUUGAAGAAAUAUUUUUUUGGUUUCGAAUUUGUUGAUGUGUUUUUGUAACCUGCUUCAAAUUGUUAUUUACUUAAAUUAAUUUGAAUUCAUUUAUGGUUUAUAACUCGGUCUUACAGUUACAUAUUUGCUUGGAGAGUUCGAGUAAUGUUCUAUGACUUUGUUGUAAGGUUAGCUGACGUUGUCUCAUACUUACUUAGAUUUUCCUUCAUAUCAAUAAAAUUUAAAUUUGUCCGUUUAUUACCCGUACAAACAAUAAUGCUACCUGAUGGUUCUGUUUGCCUUAUAGUUAUUAUCACCUAAGGCACCUUGUACACAAUGUAUCAUCUGUAUGUCUAUACGGAAAACAUCUCUAAUAUGUAUACACUCUACAUAAAAGCAACAGCACCAUUGAAACUUAACUUUUAUGCAUUUACAGUCAUCAUUAUGACAUUCUUAAUCAGGUUGACGUUGCCAUUUAAGUAUUUAGUAACCCGUAUCUAGUUAAUAUCUGCCUUUGCAAAAGGGACUAUCCGAAAAAAAGUUACAUUUCCGUCAGAGUAUGAGGCCGGUACGAUAGACAAUUGUAAAACUGAAACUUUUUUCUAGACACGAAUUGUCACGUGUCAGAGUUUACUCUAUAUAUAUGAUUCUGACACUGUUAUCUGUGUGGUAGCGGACUGCGUAGUCAACUCAGUGUGUGCUCUCUAUCUGAUAUGAUCAGUGGGAUUAAUGCGAACAUGACUUCUUCCUAGUUGUUGUUGAUUGGUCACUGUGGAUCUGACUACUUCAGCUGUACUGACGAUUUGUUUACAAAUUCAGUCAGAUAAAAUAAUUAUAAAUGCAACCGUACACGUGUUGGAUCGGAAAAGAUAAAGGCACUACGGUAAUAUAUUAAAUGUUAAGUGGCACAUGGAGAAUGGAGUAAUACAUUAUGUAGGUGGUCACCAAUACCACAGGUAACAACACAUAACAUGUGUGUCACACAUGGCAAAGAUGGAAUCACAGACUUAUAGGUACAUGUAGUAAGUCAUGACAAAGGUAGAAACAAAUGGCAUAGGUAGUACAUUAUGGCAACGAUAGAAACACACGACAUAUGUGUGACACAUGACAUAUACAGAACACAUGACAUAGGAAGUAAAUCAUGAAACAGGUAGAAACACAUGACAGGAAGUAACCCAUGAAACAGGUAGAAACACAUGACAGGGAGUAACACAUGAAACAAGUAGAAACACAUGACAGGAAGUAACACAUGAAACAGGUAGAAACACAUGACAGGUAGUAACACAUGAAACAGGUAGAAACACAUGUCAGGAAGUAACACAUGAAACAGGUAGAAACACAUGACAAGAAGUAACCCAUGAAACAGGUAGAAACACAUGACAGGAAGUAACACAUGAAACAGGUAGAAACACAUGACAGGAAGUAACACAUGAAACAGGUAGAAACACAUGACAGGAAGUAACACAUGAAACAGGUAGAAACACAUGACUGUACAUACAUGCCAUAUCUCACGUGAAUAUUAAAUACUUUGUAUUACAAUAUUUGUAAUGAUUAAUACAACUUUAUUUUUCCAUAGCGAUUAUAUAAUAUAAUGCAAUAUAUGACGUCGAAUACUACACAAUUAUUGACUUCAUGUGAGGUUUCUUCAUGAUUUACGAACCUGGUUGAUUAAAUAUUAAUCGAGGUUGAAGCCAACAAAUUCAUGUUCAGGUUAGGUCCGUUACUGAAAUCAAAAAGUAUUUAAUUAUAUGUCAUUAAAAUGUAUCGGUCUCAUCCUUUUGUCACAUUUGAAUUAUUCUAAAUUUUAAUGUAGUCUGUCACAUAGAUAUCUAUUUGGUUUAAAUUGAGCUUGUAAAACACUGACAUAUUCGUUGCAUGACUGAUCCCCUCCAACCUAGUAGUUAAGUAGUUAAUGCGGAGCAGACAAAUUUAAUCUAUUAGAUUGAGGUCUGUGCUUGAACUGGAAAAAAUCUACCCUAUCUUAGCAAGCACUGUUUUGUUAUAUUAUUCUAAGAAUGAGGUCAGUAAUAGGUUUUAUAGACUCAUCACAUGACUUCGCUCCUCCAAUAAGAGCUUUGAAUGAGGACAGGGCUAUCACUAAUAUUACAUAGGAUAUCUAUUUUUAUCAUAAUUAUUACCUUUAUUUUUUCCAAAUUAAGGUUACAAUUGCAUUCCAUAUUAAUAAACACCAAAUAAUGUAAUACUUGAAACAGAACAAUGGAUAAAUAUUACAUGCAUGUAACAAACAUGUAUUUAUCUUAUACGGACACUAUGCACAUUUCAUAUUUACCUUAACGGUCAUAUACGCAUGCACAUAAAUAAGUCAAGAAAGUGUCAUAAAUACGUUUGUAGCUACCAAUUACACAUACAUGUAAUGAUAUAUAGGGUUACUCUCAAAUCAGCUGCCGUAAAUCUUUUUACGUUUUUUAGACCUAUACCACAGAGAUAAUUCUGACACGUUAAAAACAGAAUGUACCCUAGCUAUCAUCUGUUAUAAUACAUUGAAAUGGUGUGAUGUGGAAUAUACAAAUAUAUAACAAAAUGUACCAUAGCUAUCAUCUGUUAUAAUACAUUGAAAUAGUGUGAUGUGGAAUCAUCUGUUAUAACACAUUGAAAUGGUGUGAUGUGGAAUAUACAAAUAUGUAACAAAAUGUACCGUAGCUAUCAUCUGUUAUAAUAUAUUGAAAUGGUGUGAUGUGGAAUAUAACAAAAAGUAACCUAGCUAUCAUAUUUUUAAUACAUUUAAAUGUUGUGAUGUGGAAUAUAACAAAAUGUAACCUAGUUAUCAUUUUUUAAUACAUUUAAAUGUUGUGAUAUGGAAUAUAACAAAAAGUAAUCUAGCUAUCAUCUUUUUAAUACAUUUAAAUGUUGUGAUGUGGAAUAUAACAAAAUGUAACCUAGUUAUCAUUUUUUAAUACAUUUAAAUGUUGUGAUUUGGAAUAUAACAAAAAGUAAUCUAGCUAUCAUUUUUUUAAUACAUUUAAAUGGUGUGAUGUGGAAUACAACAAAAAGUAACCUAGCUAUCAUCUUUUCAGUACAUUUAAAUGGUGUGGUGUGGAAUAUAAAAAAAUGAAACCUAGCUAUCAUAUGUUAUAAUACAUUGAAAUGGUUUGAUGUGGUAUAAACAUAAUGGAACACAUUUUAUUGCUUUAUUACUUAGAUACAAAAACAAUUACUCAAAUGUAUAAUAAACAGUGUUAAUGUAGCCUGUUACUACAUAUAUAAUUGCAUAUUGUUAUAUUUAUAUUUUCGUUGUAUAGAUUUUGAAUAAUUUUGACCAUCCAUAAAUAUUGUUUUUAACCAAUAACAGCUAAAACUAUUACACGCGUGCAUGUAUUAUUUGUUUCAAUCAGAAACUGUUCGGGUCUAUCCGUUAUACUGUCAAGGUAAUCGGGGACAAAGCAUUGAGUGACGUCAAAUUCAGCAGAAAUUCCCUGCUGAUGUUUGCCACCCAACGAAAAUGUGGAUAAGAAAACAGACCUUGACAUUGUUCCACCAUUUGUUACACCAGUUUUAAUGUUUCAUAUCGGAUGAAACCACCAAAAAGGAUAAUAAAUACUUUUUGUUUUCAGUGUAAGAAUCAAGCAAAUUACAAUCUAAAAAUAA
This 4422-nucleotide long non-coding RNA is filed under the name Mizuhopecten yessoensis (Yesso scallop). Its description in RNAcentral is "uncharacterized LOC110441404". The record is from RNAcentral. Lineage: Eukaryota; Metazoa; Mollusca; Bivalvia; Pectinida; Pectinidae.